CCUACGGGAGGCAGCAGUGGGGAAUAUUUCACAAUGGGGUAAACCCUGAUGCAGCGACGCCGCGUGAGUGAAGAAGUAUUUCGGUAUGUAAAGCUCUAUCAGCAGGGAAGAAAAUGACGGUACCUGAUUAAGAAGCCCCGGCUAACUACGUGCCAGCAGCCGCGGUAAUACGUAGGGGGCAAGCGUUAUCCGGAUUUACUGGGUGUAAAGGGAGGGUAGACGGCAGCACAAGUCUGACGUGAAAUGCCGGGGCUUAACCCCGGAACUGCUUUGGAAACUGUGCAGCUAGAGUGCAGGAGAGGUAAGUGGAAUUCCUAGUGUAGCGGUGAAAUGCGUAGAUAUUAGGAGGAACACCAGUGGCGAAGGCGGGUUACUGGACUGUAACUGACGUUGAGGCUCGAAAGCGUGGGGAGCAAACAGGAUUAGAUACCCUGGUAGUC
Molecule: ribosomal RNA, 440 nt
Filed under: uncultured bacterium
Lineage: Bacteria
Description: partial 16S ribosomal RNA
Rfam family: Bacterial small subunit ribosomal RNA
Source: RNAcentral